This 919-nucleotide ribosomal RNA is filed under the name uncultured beta proteobacterium. RNAcentral's name for it is "bacterial SSU rRNA". It matches the Rfam family "Bacterial small subunit ribosomal RNA", at positions 8 to 917 of the family's 1533-position model. Lineage: Bacteria; Pseudomonadati; Pseudomonadota; Betaproteobacteria. The record is from RNAcentral.
AGAGUCUGAUCAUGGCUCAGAUUGAACGCUAGUCGGCAUGCUUUACACUUGCAAGUCGAACGGCAGCACGGGGGCAACCCUAGUGGCGAGUGGCGAACGGGUGAGUAUUACAUCGGGUACGUGUCCUUGAGUGGGGGAUAACCUCGAGAAAUCGAGGCUAAUACCGCAUAAGCUCUGAGGAGGAAAGCGGGGGAUUCGCAAGGACCUCGCGCUGUUGGAGCAGCCGAUGUCGGAUUAGCUUGUUGGUGAGGUAAAAGCUCACCAAGGCGACGAUCCGUAGCUGGUCUGAGAGGAUGAUCAGCCACACUGUAAGUGAGACACGGUCCAGACUCCUACGGGAGGCAGCAGUGGGGAAUUUUGGACAAUGGGGGCAACCCUGAUCCAGCCAUGCCGCGUGCGGGAAGAAGGCCUUCGGGUUGUAAACCGCUUUCGGCCGGAACGAAAUGGUUAGGGCUAAUACCCCUGACUGAUGACGGUACCGGAAGAAGAAGCACCGGCUAAUUACGUGCCAGCAGCCGCGGUAAUACGUAGGGUGCGAGCGUUAAUCGGAAUUACUGGGCGUAAAGCGUGCGCAGGCGGCUUUUUAAGACAGGUGUGAAAUCCCCGGGCUUAACCUGGGAAUUGCGCUUGUGACUUGAAGGCUAGAGUGCGGCAGAGGGGGAUGGAAUUCCUGGUGUAGCAGUGAAAUGGGUAGAUAUCAGGAGGAACACCGAUGGGGAAGGCAGUCCCCUGGGUCAGCACUGACGUUCAGGCACGAAAGCGUGGGGAGCAAACAGGAUUAGAUACCCUGGUAGUCCACGCCCUAAACGAUGUCAACUAGUUGUUGGGGAAGGAGACUUCCUUAGUAACGAAGCUAACGCGUGAAGUUGACCGCCUGGGGAGUACGGCCGCAAGGUUAAAACUCAAAUGAAUUGACGGG